RNAcentral lists this ribosomal RNA (293 nucleotides) under uncultured prokaryote. Its description in RNAcentral is "partial 16S ribosomal RNA". It matches the Rfam family "Archaeal small subunit ribosomal RNA", at positions 455 to 747 of the family's 1478-position model. The record is from RNAcentral.
GUGUCAGCCGCCGCGGUAAUACCGGCAGUCCGAGUGAUGGCCGAUCUUAUUGGGCCUAAAGCGUCCGUAGCUGGCUGAACAAGUCCGUUGGGAAAUCUGUCCGCUUAACGGGCAGGCGUCCAGCGGAAACUGUUCGGCUUGGGACCGGAAGAUCUGAGGGGUACGUCCGGGGUAGGAGUGAAAUCCUGUAAUCCUGGACGGACCACCGGUGGCGAAAGCGCCUCAGGAGGACGGAUCCGACAGUGAGGAACGAAAGCUAGGGUCUCGAACCGGAUUAGAAACCCCCGUAGUCC